UAGGGAAUCUUCGGCAAUGGACGAAAGUCUGACCGAGCAACGCCGCGUGAGUGAAGAAGGUUUUCGGAUCGUAAAACUCUGUUGUUAGAGAAGAACAAGGAUGAGAGUAGAAUGUUCAUCCCUUGACGGUAUCUAACCAGAAAGCCACGGCUAACUACGUGCCAGCAGCCGCGGUAAUACGUAGGUGGCAAGCGUUGUCCGGAUUUAUUGGGCGUAAAGCGAGCGCAGGCGGUUUCUUAAGUCUGAUGUGAAAGCCCCCGGCUCAACCGGGGAGUGUCAUUGGAAACUGGGAAACUUGAGUGCAGAAGAGGAGAGUGGAAUUCCAUGUGUAGCGGUGAAAUGCGUAGAUAUAUGGAGGAACACCAGUGGCGAAGGCGGCUCUCUGGUCUGUAACUGACGCUGAGGCUCGAAAGCGUGGGGAGCAAACAGG
Molecule: ribosomal RNA, 430 nt
Filed under: Fusobacteriota bacterium
Lineage: Bacteria; Fusobacteriati; Fusobacteriota
Description: Fusobacteria bacterium partial 16S ribosomal RNA
Rfam family: Bacterial small subunit ribosomal RNA
Source: RNAcentral